RNAcentral lists this ribosomal RNA (710 nucleotides) under uncultured bacterium. Its description in RNAcentral is "bacterial SSU rRNA". It matches the Rfam family "Bacterial small subunit ribosomal RNA", at positions 94 to 823 of the family's 1533-position model. The record is from RNAcentral.
AGCGGCGGACGGGUGAGUAACGCGUGGGUAACCUGCCCUGUACACACGGAUAACAUACCGAAAGGUAUGCUAAUACGGGAUAAUAUGCUUUUAUCGCAUGGUAGAAGUAUCAAAGCUCCGGCGGUACAGGAUGGACCCGCGUCUGAUUAGCUAGUUGGUAAGGUAACGGCUUACCAAGGCGACGAUCAGUAGCCGACCUGAGAGGGUGAUCGGCCACAUUGGAACUGAGACACGGUCCAAACUCCUACGGGAGGCAGCAGUGGGGAAUAUUGCACAAUGGGCGAAAGCCUGAUGCAGCAACGCCGCGUGAGCGAUGAAGGCCUUCGGGUCGUAAAGCUCUGUCCUCAAGGAAGAUAAUGACGGUACUUGAGGAGGAAGCCCCGGCUAACUACGUGCCAGCAGCCGCGGUAAUACGUAGGGGGCUAGCGUUAUCCGGAAUUACUGGGCGUAAAGGGUGCGUAGGUGGUUUCUUAAGUCAGAGGUGAAAGGCUGCGGCUCAACCGUAGUAAGCCUUUGAAACUGGGAAACUUGAGUGCAGGAGAGGAGAGUGGAAUUCCUAGUGUAGCGGUGAAAUGCGUAGAUAUUAGGAGGAACACCAGUUGUGAAGGCGGCUCUCUGGACUGUAACUGACACUGAGGCACGAAAGCGUGGGGAGCAAACAGGAUUAGAUACCCUGGUAGUCCACGCCGUAAACGAUGAGUACUAGCUGU